Molecule: long non-coding RNA, 506 nt
Filed under: Nicotiana benthamiana
Lineage: Eukaryota; Viridiplantae; Streptophyta; Magnoliopsida; Solanales; Solanaceae
Description: long non-coding RNA (NBEN_LNC027576)
Source: RNAcentral
GUUAAUACUUUAACCCAUAGAUAUCCUUAUCGUCACAUAGUUAGUCCAUAUAUGCGCUUUUCAAAGCGCAAUCCACCAAAACUAAUUAGCUAUUUCAUUAAUUGUACUAAAGUGCAUUACAAACAUUGUUUUCUUUUAAUGAGUACUUUCUUUCUUUACCUUUCUCUUUUCUUCCUUCUUUUUUAUUUUCUUCUCUUUUUUUUCUCUUCUCUUUCUCCCAUAUCUGAUUUCUUCCAUUACUGAUGUCUUUCUAUUUUCGUCAAAAAUCGCUCGACAAAACUCAUAAAUCCUACUAAUUUUACUAUCACAAACCCCACAGGUUCUUCUGACUGGAGAAGAUAAAAAUUAUGGGAGAAAUUUUUCGAUGGUGUUAAUUUGGUGAAGAUAGGAUAUGAUUAUCCAAAUUUUGAAGGUCUUGUUCCUUUAGAUCUGAAGCUCCAUAGUGAACAACACCUUCAAAAUCUGAAUAACCAUAUACUCCCUUCACCCAAUUAACGAAAGAGAAA